RNAcentral lists this ribosomal RNA (209 nucleotides) under uncultured Rhodocyclaceae bacterium. RNAcentral describes it as "partial 16S ribosomal RNA". It matches the Rfam family "Bacterial small subunit ribosomal RNA", at positions 1174 to 1382 of the family's 1533-position model. Lineage: Bacteria; Pseudomonadati; Pseudomonadota; Betaproteobacteria; Rhodocyclales; Rhodocyclaceae. The record is from RNAcentral.
UGGGGAUGACGUCAAGUCCUCAUGGCCCUUAUGGGUAGGGCUUCACACGUCAUACAAUGGUCGGUACAGAGGGUUGCCAACCCGCGAGGGGGAGCUAAUCCCACAAAGCCGAUCGUAGUCCGGAUCGCAGUCUGCAACUCGACUGCGUGAAGUCGGAAUCGCUAAUAAUCGUGGAUCAGCAUGUCACGGUGAAUACGUUCCCGGGUCUU